AGUGAACGCUGGCGGUAGGCCUAACACAUGCAAGUCGAACGGCAGCACAGUAAGAGCUUGCUCUUACGGGUUGCGAGUGGCGUACGGGUGAGGAAUACAUCGGAAUCUUCUUUUUCGUGGGGGAUAACGUAGGGAAACUUACGCUAAUACCGCAUACGACCUUCGGGUGAAAGCAGGGGAUCUUCGGACCUUGCGCGAUUUAUUUAGCCGAUGUCGGAUUAGCUAGUUGGCGGGGUAAAGGCCCACCAAGGCGACGAUCCGUAGAGGGUCUGAGAGGAUGAUCAGCCACACUGGAACUGAGACACGGUCCAGAAUCCUACGGGAGGCAGCAGUGGGGAAUAUUGGACAAUGGGCGAAAGAAUGAUCCAGCAAAACCGCGUGGGUGAAGAAGGACUUCGGGUUGUAAAGCCCUUUUGUUGGGAAAGAAAAGCAGCAGGAUAAUACCCCGCUGUUGUGACGGUACCCAAAGAAUAAGCACCGGCUAACUUCGUG
Molecule: ribosomal RNA, 492 nt
Filed under: uncultured bacterium
Lineage: Bacteria
Description: partial 16S ribosomal RNA
Rfam family: Bacterial small subunit ribosomal RNA
Source: RNAcentral